GGGGGUGUGGCUCAGUGGUGGGGCACUUGGCUGGCACGUAGGAGGCCUGGGUUCGAUCUCUAGCACCACAG
RNAcentral lists this transfer RNA (71 nucleotides) under Heterocephalus glaber (naked mole-rat). It matches the Rfam family "tRNA". From Rfam's summary of the family: Transfer RNA (tRNA) molecules are approximately 80 nucleotides in length. The record is from Rfam by way of RNAcentral. Lineage: Eukaryota; Metazoa; Chordata; Mammalia; Rodentia; Bathyergidae.